GUUUGUGUGAAGGUAUACAGAGUUUGGCCUGCCCACUGAAUUUUUAAAGGCCGCGGUAUUUUGACUGUGCAAAGGUAGCAUAAUAAUUAGCUUUUUAAUUGAGAGCUUGAAUGAAGGGUCGGACAAAGAAAAAGCUGUCUUUAAUAUUUUUAUUGAAUUUUACAUUUAAGUGAGAAGGCUUAAAUUAAUUUAAGGGACGAUAAGACCCUAUAAAUCUUUACAUAUCUAUUUGCUUUUUUUUUUAGUUGUGAAUUAAAUAAAAUGUGAGAUGUAUGUUAUAUUGGGGUGAUAGAGAUAUAACAAAUUAACUGUCUUUAAAAUAAAAACAAGAUUACUUGAUUUAUAAAAGAUCCUUUAUAGAGAUUAAAAGUUUAAGUUACUUUAGGGAUAACAGCGUAAUUUUUUUUGAGAGUUCUUAUCGAAAGAAGAGUUUGCGACCUCGAUGUUGAAUUAAAAAUUUUUUUAUGGUGCAGGUGCUAUAAGGGAAAGUCUGUUCGACUUUUAAAUUUUU
This 511-nucleotide ribosomal RNA is filed under the name Munidopsis sp. RNAcentral describes it as "partial large subunit ribosomal RNA". It matches the Rfam family "Bacterial large subunit ribosomal RNA", at positions 1831 to 2597 of the family's 2925-position model. Lineage: Eukaryota; Metazoa; Arthropoda; Malacostraca; Decapoda; Munidopsidae. The record is from RNAcentral.